GCCUUCGUAGCUCAGGGGAUAGAGCGACGGUUUCCGGUACCGUAGGUCGGGGGUUCGAAUCCCUCCGAGGGCA
This 73-nucleotide transfer RNA is filed under the name Arthrobacter psychrochitiniphilus. It matches the Rfam family "tRNA". From Rfam's summary of the family: Transfer RNA (tRNA) molecules are approximately 80 nucleotides in length. Their secondary structure includes four short double-helical elements and three loops (D, anti-codon, and T loops). RNAcentral also lists the same sequence under 3 other names. The record is from Rfam by way of RNAcentral. Lineage: Bacteria; Bacillati; Actinomycetota; Actinomycetes; Micrococcales; Micrococcaceae.